This is a long non-coding RNA of Ictalurus punctatus (channel catfish), 1619 nucleotides long. Lineage: Eukaryota; Metazoa; Chordata; Actinopteri; Siluriformes; Ictaluridae. The record is from Ensembl.
CCGGUUACAAAUAGUAGUAUCGUGCUAACACUAAUGCUAACCUGAUACAGUCAGUAUUUUGAUCAGUUAAGCUAAUGGUAGAGUCCUGCAGAAGAGCAGGUGCGCCGCGUCGGCCAAUCAGAACCGGCGGGGAGGAUCACAUGACCGACACCGUGGUCGAAAUGCAGGCAGGCAGGCAGCGCUCGGGACUCGGGAGAGCGGCAGUGAGGCAGAGACGGAGAGAGAGACGGAGCUGAGGAGAAGGGAGAGAGAGAGAGAGAGCGCGCGAGAGUACUUGGAUGGUUAUCUGCGCUCAGGGACGGAAAGCCACUCGCUCGGGGAGCGCGCCGAGCACCUGUCCGACUCGUCCAGACCACAUUCCCGCCUUCCCUCCUCAAGUAUCUACAAAACGCUGACUCUCCACUCAUCCACUGCUCAAGUCUCGGUCCUGUGACUGCGUUUUGGCUCGAUGAACGAGGCCAGAGCCUUGAACUGCGCUUCACCCUGUAGACCAAUAAACAAACCCACAUCACACUGACAGGCCGCGCAGGAGCUCCUCUAGACCUUCAGCUGUCCCGAUCAGGGACGUACCAAUCCCAUUCCUGGGGGUGGACACAUCAUUAAUUCAUUAGCAGAGCAGAGCGCACAGGUCGUGUCCCUCUGUAAGGAAGCGGAACAAAGAGGACGACACAGUCAAAAGUGUAGGUCUCCCUCUCUCUCUCUCUCUCCUCUCCUCUCCCUCUCUCUCUCUCUCUCUCUCUCUGUGUUUGUUAAAUUAUGGUGGUGAUAUUUAUUUCUCUCAUUAAGAACUAUUGAAAGCACACUUGCAUUUUCAUUUACGGUCACCACUGAUGUCAUUGUGACACAAUUUCCCUUCCCACUCCACCCCCCACCCCCCAACAUUAGAUUUCAGGAUGUUUCCUGCUAAAAAAAAAAAGGAGAUCUGGUGAAUGCAUUAAAGUUUGAAAGCACAGAAAGAUGAAGUAGCGCUGCGGAGCAUCUCUCUGGUUUAAAAUGGAGUCUAGUGAUGAUGACUGUUAUCAGGAUGUAUGGAAGUGUAAUCUUGAAGCACGAGUAUGAGAGAGAUUAUAAGAUGGAUCGCAGAGGGUUGAGUGAAAACUAUUACAUCCGCUCGAGUUCUGCAGAAUCCAUUAAACGCUGGCGCUCGCCGCGGGGGAGGAGCGGACGGCACCGAUCCCGCUUUAACGCGCGAGGCAGCGCCGGGUCACGGGCGCGCUCAAGAAAGCUUUUGCAAAUACGCGGUAAUAACUCUAUCUGUGACAGGAUCGGGGAUAAUUUCAGUUCGAGUCUGACUUAAACACACACACACACACACACACACACACACACAUCAUCUGCAGUCAUUAGAUUUAAACCGCCGUCUCAGAUGUCACUGCACACUUUACAGAGAUACGGUCCAGUACGUCGAGGCUUCGAGCUCCGAGGAAUCAGUUCGGGAUUAGGAUUAGUAACGGAUGCUGGUUUUAUUUUCCAUCCAGUGGCACGUAGGAAUUGUUUACUGCUGAGACUGCUCAUGGCGUUCCUCCACGCUGAUGGAUCGCACAUGUUGAAGGCCUGUGGUGCAACAAACCCAUACACCACCUUCAUCUACACCUACGCCUCUUCAGAUUGAAUUCUUA